RNAcentral lists this ribosomal RNA (414 nucleotides) under uncultured microorganism. RNAcentral describes it as "bacterial SSU rRNA". It matches the Rfam family "Bacterial small subunit ribosomal RNA", at positions 9 to 420 of the family's 1533-position model. The record is from RNAcentral.
GAGUUGAUCAUGGCUCAGAUUGAACGCUGGCGGCAUGCCUUACACAUGCAAGUCGAACGGCAGCAUGAUCUAGCUUGCUAGAUUGAUGGCGAGUGGCGAACGGGUGAGUAAUACAUCGGAACGUGCCCUGUAGUGGGGGAUAACUAGUCGAAAGAUUAGCUAAUACCGCAUACGACCUGAGGGUGAAAGUGGGGGACCGCAAGGCCUCAUGCUAUAGGAGCGGCCGAUGUCUGAUUAGCUAGUUGGUGGGGUAAAGGCCCACCAAGGCGACGAUCAGCAGCUGGUCUGAGAGGACGAUCAGCCACACUGGGACUGAGACACGGCCCAGACUCCUACGGGAGGCAGCAGUGGGGAAUUUUGGACAAUGGGCGAAAGCCUGAUCCAGCAAUGCCGCGUGUGUGAAGAAGGCCUCGG